RNAcentral lists this ribosomal RNA (301 nucleotides) under uncultured bacterium. Its description in RNAcentral is "partial 16S ribosomal RNA". It matches the Rfam family "Bacterial small subunit ribosomal RNA", at positions 509 to 807 of the family's 1533-position model. The record is from RNAcentral.
CAGCCGCCGCGGUAAUACGUAGGUGGCAAGCGUUGACCGGAAUUACUGGGCGUAAAGGGCUCGCAGGCGGUUUCUUAAGUCUGAUGUGAAAGCCCCCGGCUCAACCGGGGAGGGUCAUUGGAAACUGGGAAACUUGAGUGCAGAAGAGGAGAGUGGAAUUCCACGUGUAGCGGUGAAAUGCGUAGAGAUGUGGAGGAACACCAGUGGCGAAGGCGACUCUCUGGUCUGUAACUGACGCUGAGGAGCGAAAGCGUGGGGAGCGAACAGGAUUAGAUACCCCUGUAGUCCCUGUCUCUUAUAC